GACGAACGCUGGCGGCGUGCUUAACACAUGCAAGUCGAACGGAAAGGCCCUGCUUGCAGGGUACUCGAGUGGCGAACGGGUGAGUAACACGUGGGUGAUCUGCCCUGCACUUCGGGAUAAGCCUGGGAAACUGGGUCUAAUACCGGAUAGGACCAUCGUUUAGUGUCGGUGGUGGAAAGUUUUUCGGUGCAGGAUGAGCCCGCGGCCUAUCAGCUUGUUGGUGGGGUAAUGGCCUACCAAGGCGUCGACGGGUAGCCGGCCUGAGAGGGUGGACGGCCACAUUGGGACUGAGACACGGCCCAGACUCCUACGGGAGGCAGCAGUGGGGAAUAUUGCACAAUGGGCGCAAGCCUGAUGCAGCGACGCCGCGUGGGGGAUGAAGGCCUUCGGGUUGUAAACUCCUUUCAGCCAUGACGAAGCUGGCCUUGUUGGGUCAGUGACGGUAGUGGUAGAAGAAGCACCGGCUAACUACGUGCCAGCCGCCGCCGUAAAAC
Molecule: ribosomal RNA, 494 nt
Filed under: uncultured bacterium
Lineage: Bacteria
Description: bacterial SSU rRNA
Rfam family: Bacterial small subunit ribosomal RNA
Source: RNAcentral